RNAcentral lists this ribosomal RNA (484 nucleotides) under uncultured bacterium. Its description in RNAcentral is "partial 16S ribosomal RNA". It matches the Rfam family "Bacterial small subunit ribosomal RNA", at positions 29 to 523 of the family's 1533-position model. The record is from RNAcentral.
AAUGAACGCUGGCGGCGUGCUUAACACAUGCAAGUCGAACGAGAACGGGUUAUAACUUGUUAUAACUGUCAGCUAAGUGGCGCACGGGUGAGUAAUGUAUAGGUAAUAUGCCUCUUACUAAGGGAUAACAAAUGGAAACGUUUGCUAAUACCUUAUACUCCUUAUUAACCUAAGUUAAUAAGGGAAAGAUUUAUUGGUAAGAGAUUAGCCUGUAUUGUAUCAGUUAGUUGGUGGGGUAAUGGCUUACCAAGACUAUGACACAUAACUGGUUUGAGAGGAUGAUCAGUCACACUGGAACUGAGACACGGUCCAGACUCCUACGGGAGGCAGCAGUGGGGAAUAUUGCACAAUGGACGAAAGUCUGAUGCAGCAACGCCGCGUGGAGGAUGACACAUUUCGGUGCGUAAACUCCUUUUAUAUGAGAAGAUAAUGACGGUAUUAUAUGAAUAAGCACCGGCUAACUCCGUGCCAGCAGCCGCGGUAA